This 253-nucleotide ribosomal RNA is filed under the name uncultured bacterium. Its description in RNAcentral is "partial 16S ribosomal RNA". It matches the Rfam family "Bacterial small subunit ribosomal RNA", at positions 524 to 776 of the family's 1533-position model. The record is from RNAcentral.
UACGUAGGGGGCAAGCGUUGUUCGGAAUUACUGGGCGUAAAGGGCGCGUAGGCGGCACGGCAAGUCAGGAGUGAAAGCCCUGGGCUCAACCCGGGAACUGCUUUUGAAACUGCUGAGCUAGAGUGCGGAAGGGGCAACUGGAAUUCCUAGUGUAGCGGUGAAAUGCGUAGAGAUUAGGAAGAACACCAGUGGCGAAGGCGACUUACUGGACUGUAACUGACGCUGAGGCAUGAAAGCGUGGGGAGCAAACAGG